Long non-coding RNA from Toxorhynchites rutilus septentrionalis, 1431 nucleotides. RefSeq lists it as uncharacterized. Lineage: Eukaryota; Metazoa; Arthropoda; Insecta; Diptera; Culicidae. The transcript has 3 exons. The record is from RefSeq and is a predicted model, not a curated record.
CCAAAGUGGAGCGCUCUAGUUGGCGGAGGAGGUGGGUGAAUUUAAGAUUCUCUUCGCUACACAGAGGAUAUGGACAUCACUGCCUGCGACCAAUCUAUGCGUUGACUCUACGCCAUCCACAGGAGAAGAAUAGCUCACAAACUCGCACCCACUCCAGCUAAAACAAGAGACUAGACUAGAUUGUGAACAUGGAACAUCCGAAUUAUUGACAUUUGUCGAAUCCCUUGCGGAAUAGAUUGGUCUUCUGUAAACAUUUUUGAACGGAUAAGUAAACAACAAACAGCGGUUCUUUCGAACGACGACGCGAUACGGAAAAUAUUGCCUAAACAUUCAUUUAGAGCGCAUGGGGCAGAUCAGCUUGGUACAUUAGCGGAAAAAGAAGAACCUAUUGGAGGAGCGUCCAGAGUAAGUGGAAACCGAAGUAGAAGCGAAUAAUCUGGAAGAACGUGUUGCCCAAGUGACAUUAGGACUACCAGCGGUCAUCGAACUGAAAGAUUAAUCAACAGCCCAACAGAACAAAGAUGUGAAUGUAUAUGCCAAGAAAAAGUUGAAAAUGAACCUUUCGAGCAUAAUGUUUCCGGCAAGUUAAGCGAUUCUCCUCAAUCAACUGUGCUGACUACAAACUUACUAAGAAACCUGCUUGGGAAAACUGAGUUUGGAAAAAAAAUAUUACCAAAGCAAAUUUAGAGGAGCUGUCGGAAUCGAAACAGUUAGGCCUUGUUCUCACUGCAGCGGGGCGUUAGUGUGGCUUGGGCGGGGCGUGUUCUUACCGAUGUGUUCAUACCAGGCUGACGUGUCGUGAGCGUGGUUUUGGCGUGUUGCUGGCGUGCAAACGAAAACACUUCACGCCGGCGAUAUUUGUAUUUCUCCGCUUUUCUCUUGCAUAUGUUUGUUUGUAGUAGUGACAUAAUUUUAAUUUUUCGCGUUUUUUUUAGUUUUUACGUUUUUCACCGUCCGAUUUAUAUGAGGGUUUUAGAAAAAUUAUAAAAAAAUGAUUAGGUAAGGUUCAGUGCUACGUGUUUUAUGCAUUCAAGUAACAACAAGUAAUAACUUUCAUUCAAAUUUUAGGGAUUUAAAAUUCUCUUGGGCCCACUAACCUGAUAGAGAGUAAAUUUUCUCACAAACAUAGAUUUUAACACAAGAUGUCGCACAGUAUCUUAGACACCACGAAUGAUAGUGUCCCUGCCCUAUUACAGAAAUGAUGGAGCGAGAUCAGAAAAUCCGGAUAUGCAUCAUUAAUGCCCGUCAUUUCAAUUUUGACUACCUUACACGAUCAUUUUUAUUGUCAUUCUGACGAAGUAAUGUAAUUAUUAUUUAUCGUGUAAGGGACCCUUUAGUAUGUGAGCUGACUGAACACUGUCAUCGGUAUUUUGUGCAGUACGAAGUUUUAUCGGUAGCGCGAGUAAUAGAUGUAAUUAUUAAGUUUUCUGU